GUUUUGGGCUCCGGCAAUAGCGCGGUAAACGGACUCGAAAAAGAUUUUCACUUUCGCAAGUCGAAAACUGUUGAAGAAAAUAAUUGUUUCUCUGGGGAAAAAUAGGAAUAAUGUGGUUCUCAAAUGCAUCAGCUUCAACGGAUUGCACGAAAAACGAUGGUUUGUCAACAAAGGGUUUCGGCGAACCAGGAUAGAACAUCCGCUGCACGCCGGUUAUAUAUGUACCAAUAUAUCAUCAGAGUAAAGGAUGUGAUACUGUCGCAGCCGCUGCGACAAUCUUUUCUAAGCUUACAUUGUGUGGUAAAUGCAUGUAAAAAAUGAAUCAAUGACAAUAAAUAAAUGAUACUUUUUGCAAUGUCGUCUCAGAAUAA
Long non-coding RNA from Armigeres subalbatus, 371 nucleotides. RefSeq lists it as uncharacterized. The transcript is spliced from 2 exons. Lineage: Eukaryota; Metazoa; Arthropoda; Insecta; Diptera; Culicidae. The record is from RefSeq and is a predicted model, not a curated record.